RNAcentral lists this ribosomal RNA (251 nucleotides) under uncultured bacterium. Its description in RNAcentral is "partial 16S ribosomal RNA". It matches the Rfam family "Bacterial small subunit ribosomal RNA", at positions 524 to 776 of the family's 1533-position model. The record is from RNAcentral.
GACGUAGGGGGCGAGCGUUGUCCGGAUUUAUUGGGCGUAAAGCGUGCGUAGGCGGCUGCGCAAGUCGGGUGUGAAACCCCGGGGCUCAACCCCGGAACUGCAUCCGAUACUGCGUGGCUAGAGGUAGGUAGGGGAGAUCGGAAUUCCUGGUGUAGCGGUGAAAUGCAGAUAUCAGGAGGAACACCGGUGGCGAAGGCGGAUCUCUGGGCCUUACCUGACGCUCAGGCACGAAAGCUAGGGGAGCGAACAGG